GCAGCGGAGCGUGUGGUUUAAUUCGAUGCUACACGAAGAACCUCACCAGGGUUGACAUGUUAGAAGUAGUGAACCGAAAGGGAUCGACCUGUUAAGUCAGGAGCUAUCACAGGUGCUGCAUGGCUGUCGUCAGCUCGUGCCGUGAGGUGUAUGGUUAAGUCCUGCAACGAGCGCAACCCUUAUUGCCAGUUAUAUUCUCUGGCGAUACUGCCUCGCAAAACGGGGAGGAAGGUGGGGAUGACGUCAAGUCAGCAUGGCCUUUAUAUCCUGGGCUACACACACGCUACAAUGGCCAACACAAUAGGUUGCUAAGCCGCGAGGUGGAGCCAAUCCAUAAAGUUGGUCUCAGUUCAGAUUGUAGGCUGCAACCCGCCUGCAUGAAGAUGGAGUUGCUAGUAACCGCAGGUCAGCUAUACUGCGGUGAAUACGUUCCCGGGGCUU
RNAcentral lists this ribosomal RNA (441 nucleotides) under uncultured Dehalogenimonas sp. Its description in RNAcentral is "bacterial SSU rRNA". It matches the Rfam family "Bacterial small subunit ribosomal RNA", at positions 929 to 1382 of the family's 1533-position model. Lineage: Bacteria; Bacillati; Chloroflexota; Dehalococcoidia; Dehalococcoidales; Dehalococcoidaceae. The record is from RNAcentral.